Molecule: ribosomal RNA, 253 nt
Filed under: uncultured bacterium
Lineage: Bacteria
Description: partial 16S ribosomal RNA
Rfam family: Bacterial small subunit ribosomal RNA
Source: RNAcentral
GACAGAGGGUGCGAACGUUGUUCGGAAUUACUGGGCGUAAAGCGUGUGUAGGCGGCCACGUAAGUCGGAUGUGAAAGCCCCAGGCUCAACCUGGGAAGUGCACUCGAUACUGCGUGGCUUGAGUAUCGGAGAGGUUGGUGGAAUUCUCGGUGUAGAGGUGAAAUUCGUAGAUAUCUGGAGGAACACCGGUGGCGAAGGCGACGUCCUGGACCGGUAUUGACGCUGAGGCGCGAAAGCCAGGGGAGCAAACGGG